GACGAACGCUGGCGGCGUGCUUAACACAUGCAAGUCGAACGGAAAGGCCCUGCUUUUGUGGGGUGCUCGAGUGGCGAACGGGUGAGUAACAAGUGAGUAACCUGCCCUUGACUUUGGGAUAACUUCAGGAAACUGGGGCUAAUACCGGAUAGGAGCUCCUGCUGCAUGGUGGGGGUUGGAAAGUUUCGGCGGUUGGGGAUGGACUCGCGGCUUAUCAGCUUGUUGGUGGGGUAGUGGCUUACCAAGGCUUUGACGGGUCGCCGGCCUGGGAGGGUGGCCGGGCACAUUGGGACUGAGAGACGGCCCAGACUCCAACGGGAGGCAGCAGGGGGGAAUAUUGCACAAUGGGCGGAAGCCUGAUGCAGCAACGCCGCGUGCGGGAUGACGGCCUUCGGGUUGUAAACCGCUUUCGCCUGUGACGAAGCGUGAGUGACGGUAAUGGGUAAAGAAGCACCGGCUAACUACGUG
This 468-nucleotide ribosomal RNA is filed under the name uncultured bacterium. Its description in RNAcentral is "partial 16S ribosomal RNA". It matches the Rfam family "Bacterial small subunit ribosomal RNA", at positions 28 to 507 of the family's 1533-position model. The record is from RNAcentral.